CAGUACAAUUAUACCACUUAAUUCGGUUUCCUGUAAAUGCGUGAGAUAUGAAUACAAGAAUAGCUCCUCCUAUGAGAACUGGGCAAAGGGCCGUCGAUGUGGAGUACUUGCCAGUAUGUAUGACGCCCUCAGUUUUGGCCCCAGCACUGCAUAAUCCUGCAUGUUUCCAAGCCAGCACUGGGAAGGUUGGUACAGGAGGAUGAGAUGUUCAAGGUCAUUCCUAGCUACGUUGCCCAGCCUUGCCUACCUGAGAUCACCCCUGCCUCCCCACAAAAGAACAAAGAGGAAAAAUCUAGAAAACAAAACCAAGCUGACCCUGUUGCUGGACACAUCUCCCACUCCAAGAACAGGGCCAGAAGCCCCUGUGCUGGGACUGACCUGAAAGCCUCCUCCCAGGGUACUGCCCACCACUCAUGGCACCAGAAGGCACCACGCAAGCUUCCAAAGGAGGGUGGCAGCCAACACUUCUACUUAGCUAUGAUGCCUGUGAGCCACAACAAUGACCAGCACGGCACAGCCACCCUAAGUGUGCAGUAGUGGCUCGCGUCCCUUGGCAGUUACUAACGGCUCUCCAAUUUGAUCUAA
RNAcentral lists this long non-coding RNA (585 nucleotides) under Rattus norvegicus (Norway rat). Its description in RNAcentral is "long non-coding RNA NONRATT025349". The record is from RNAcentral. Lineage: Eukaryota; Metazoa; Chordata; Mammalia; Rodentia; Muridae.